CUUUGGACAUAGCAUAUGGUAUUUGUCAAAAAUCAUUCGAACGACAAAUUUCUAUUUACUUGUGUAUCGUUAUUAAUUUUUGUUGUAGAAUGAAUUUGACGUCCCAUUACAAGAUUAAAGAUUGCUUUGAGACUUCAAAACGUACAAGCGAUGAAAAGAUUGAAAAGUAUGUCGUGAAAUCCCUUUCAAACCGAGUAAGUACCGCACAUGACCGUCUUCCACGAGUGAAGGCUCACGUUGACGUCAUUCCCGUGGUGAGUAACUAGAUUUCGCCGCCGAAACGAGGACCUUCUCGGACAAUUUGAUCGUGUCCCGAUGACGGGACACGUUCUUCCUACACAGAUAGACCAACGUGUACGAUGAGAUAACAGGUGAUGCGCGCUGGUGAAAAUAACCGACGAAGCUGUUCUUGUCUUCGACGGUAAUCAGGAUGCCCUCGUUUCGAAGUCCUUGAGAUGGAUGGUGUUCGUUUUACGGACACCAACCGUACACUCCGGUUAUUUUAAAUCAUCGCGUAAUCGUCCAUGCAACAAGCGAGAAGCAUCACGGCGAUUUGAUGUCGCGCGAUGAUAACGUGAAAAUGACGUGCUGUUUGUUAUCACGAAACAAGGAUUCCGGUGUGUGAGAAAGGUAAGGAGAAGGAAGUAGAAUUUUGUUAAGGCGAUGAUUAUUUUCUGUCUAGAGAAUCAAACGAUC
RNAcentral lists this unclassified non-coding RNA (696 nucleotides) under Bombus terrestris (buff-tailed bumblebee). Its description in RNAcentral is "misc RNA ENSBTSG00005034558.1". The record is from RNAcentral. Lineage: Eukaryota; Metazoa; Arthropoda; Insecta; Hymenoptera; Apidae.